This 864-nucleotide ribosomal RNA is filed under the name Enhydris innominata. Its description in RNAcentral is "partial 12S ribosomal RNA". RNAcentral also lists the same sequence under 1 other name. Lineage: Eukaryota; Metazoa; Chordata; Lepidosauria; Squamata; Homalopsidae. The record is from RNAcentral.
CCCACCACAGUGAAAUAGCCUACCACCAACANNCAUAGAGCAGGCAUCAGGUAACACCNCCCACGACGCCAAGCAAUCNNNAGCCACACCCCCACGGGCAUGCAGCAGUACUUAAUAUUGGGCCAUAAGCGAAANNNNNGCUUGACCCAAUAAUNGGGUGNACAUANGGGCCGGUUAAUCUCNGUGCCAGCGACCGCGGUUACACGACAGACCCUAGACAAUGUCACCGGCGUAAAGCACGACUANAAAACCAGUCANCCAAAUNNUAGGGCUGAGAAUNAAGCCAGGCUGUAGAAAGCCAUAAGCCCCNCACAAACCACNCACCCCUAACAAUAAANCUAUUUCAACUCGUGAAAGCAAGGACACAAACUAAGAUUAGAUACCUUACUAUGCCCUGCCAUAACACAGCAAUCAAAUAACCAAUUGCUCGCCAAAUAACUACGAGUAAAAACUUAAAAUUUAAAAGACUUGACGGUACUUCACAACAACCUAGAGGAGCCUGUCCAAUAACCGAUAAUCCCCGAUUAACCCCACCCGUUUUUGCCCUANCAGUCUAUAUACCGCCGUCGCCAGCUUGCCCUGUGAAAGAGACAAANGCAAGCCAAACAGUAUUUAUACUAACACGACAGGUCGAGGUGUAACAAAUAAACGGGUCAAAGAUGGGCUACAUUUUCUCAACCAGAAAAUACGAAUUAANGCAUGAAACAACAACCUGAAGGCGGAUUUAGCAGUAAGACAAAAAUANGAACAUUUAUCUGAAACUAACGCAAUGAAGUGCGUACACACCGCCCGUCAUCCCUGUNAGGANCAUCACUAUAAUCCAUAAUACAAAUACCACCACCAAANCAGGGCAAGUCGUAACAC